Molecule: long non-coding RNA, 2214 nt
Organism: Mesocricetus auratus (golden hamster)
Lineage: Eukaryota; Metazoa; Chordata; Mammalia; Rodentia; Cricetidae
Exons: 2
Source: RefSeq, a predicted model, not a curated record
AAGGCGUGGCAUCAGCAUGGCGUCAGUCAAGUGGCGCAGCCGCAAAGCUGCCCGCUGGGGAAGGAGGCCCAGCUGUGGUUCUAGCACGGACCUGGGGACACUGUGCUAACUGACAAGCUCAUCACAGAGAGGUGUACUCUGGCACCCACAUCCACAAAGCUAACACAUCUGGAGCGCAGACCCGAGAGAAGGAGAAAGCUGGGCCUUUGGUGGUGCUGGAUUAGAAACCAUGGUUUCUAGACACCCUUGUCUUACAUACUUCCUGCUUGGGCCAUUCAGCUUGCUGUCUGUUGCCUGCCUGGCACGCCAGAGCUACGCACCAUGUUCACAAACAGCGCCCGGCAGGACCUGCCCAUCCUGAGCCCACCUGGUCAGAGCACUUCCUGCUGUUGAGUUCUCUGCAAUCCUGACACUAACCUCCUGGGAGAUGGUUUAGCCUUGACCAUGCACUGCUUCAUGGUAAGUAGGAGUCAGUCCCUCCAGGAGUUUAAAAGAUGAAUGUUUAUUUCUCUCUCUCAACCCGUAAGUCCUCAGUUCAGCAGAGACUGAGAUAUACCUUUGAAUACGACUUCCCAGAAGGCUUGUAGCUCAUGGAGUGAAGAAUGCGUAGCCUGUGGGUGCAGCUGUGGCACAGACCCAUCUCCAGAGCGUCUUAGCAGGCCGGCACCCCCAUCAUCUCCAGAGCGUCUUAGCAGGCCGGCACCCCGUCUUGCUCUCCUGACUCACUCAGCUUGACUGGCUCUUGUCAUCAUGCUUUCGGAGGAGUAGAAAGACUUCCUGGCAUCAGUCCCCGGACGGCUGCAAAGCGUGGUUCAAGGAUUAACUGGGAAACUGUUAGAAAUGCAGACUCUCAGGCCUGCCUCACCACCCGCCGAAUUCUAAGCUGUGUUUGACUGUCUAGGCAAACUGUAAGACAAGGAAAGCUUAACAAGCCAUUUUGGCUUAUAACAAGUCAUGCUUGCCUUUUGAGUUGUCUGUUGUGGUUUGGAAAAUUAUUUAAAAAUGUGUUCCUUAAAGGCUCACCUCUCAGACUGUAAGCAAAGUGCAGUGACGCAUUUUGACGAAAGUGUCACAACGAAACCCCUUACUUUUGUAUACUAACUAAAAUAAGUCUUAACAGAAAGUCCCUGGCCCCACAGUGCUGGCAUCAGCAGGUAUCUCGGAACGAUAAAGAAAUGGGGUCCAUGGGAAGGUCCUAAGGUCGACUAAGCCCAUCCCUCGGGAGGAGCCAUGCCACGGGGUCUCUCUCUGGCUCCUGUUUUGUAAUGUGUUGCUGUGAUGUCAUUAGGCUCUCCCUAGAGGCCACACCAGAGAGGCUACUAGAGGCUGUGCACUAAGUAGGUAUCUUUAUGAGGUUAGCUUGCCCCAAGCAUUUCAUUAUAGUAACGGGUACCUCAGUAGUUACACCCUCGUUUCCUAUUCCAGGUCUGAACUCUCUCUGUGAUGACUGACAAUGGGAACACUAGCUAUUCAGUGGCUUGUGGUACGGGAAACUCCACCCCCACAGUGAUGUGGCCCCACCCCCACAGUGAUGUGGCCCCACCCCCACAGCGAUGUGGCCCCACCCCCACAGCGAUGUGGCCCCACCCCCACAGUGAUGUGGCCCCACCCCCACAGCGAUGUGGCUCCACCCCCACAGUGAUGUGGCUCCACCCCCACAGUGAUGCGGUCCCACCCCCACAGCGAUGUGGCCCCACCCCCACAGCGAUGCGGUCCCAAGCGCUGAAGAAGACAGUCCCCAGCAUCUACCAGACUGGCCAUUUAAAGGAAAAGCCCUAACUGGGCAGCACUGACACCUUACCCAGGGAGAACCUGGUCCUGCUCCCACUCCUUUUAUCAGUCCAUCUUCUUUUAUUAGGAAAGUAAUAUUAAAAUAUUAGCAUUUAAGACAAAAAUGAAUUUUAUAUAGGUUGACAUUACCUCUCAUCCUUGUCUACAUACAUAUUCAAUUUUUACAUAUUUGAUUCAAUAUUUUAUGAUUCAUUUUUAUAUCCUGCACUUUCAUCGACUGUGACGUUGAGAUGCACUUUCGUCCUCCCAGCCCCUCCCCUUUCUCCCGUGUCUUCCUGUCCUUUGUCUCUGGAGGCAGCUAACAUUAGAGACUUAAUUUCCAUGGUGCGACCCUUUCUCUGUUCUCCCAUAAACAACCAUGAAAUGUAUAAAUAAACAACAUUCCAUGUUGGGGUCAGGUUUUCUUUUCUGUCUUGACACGAA